Non-coding RNA from Epinephelus lanceolatus (giant grouper), 613 nucleotides. The record is from RefSeq and is a predicted model, not a curated record. NCBI's taxonomy places the organism in Eukaryota, Metazoa, Chordata, Actinopteri, Perciformes, Serranidae.
UACGUCACACAGCCAGGAUUGGUGUGCUACAAGCGAGAGAACAAAAGGCCUACUCACCGCUCCUCCCUCUUCCUGCUGCAUUCCUCCCAGAGGCACUUUGACCUCCCCCAGAAACCCCCACUGAGCUCCAGUAUCUGCUAACCCUCCCCUGAGCACACACAGAGAGACAGAGAGAGGGACGGGGGAGGAGGGGAGGCACACAGAGACACACAGGCUGAAACACGCUAUCUGUUCUAACACUCACGGCAGCAACAACCUCCUCGGCUGAACGCAGACAGUUAGCUGGAGCUACAGCAUGGACUCCUGAAGCCGCUCCUCAGCUGCUGGUAUUGAAGCCUGAGCAGAAGGACAGAGACAGAAGGAUGGAGACCAUCAGAAACAAGCCUACAAACAAGAGCUGACGGCUGCGGAUAAACUCUUCAAAAUCUAACAGGGUUUAUUUGCCCACAUUCUCAAGAUUGAAGAGACGGAGGGGAGUGCUGCUUCACCUCAUUCACAAUCAUUUACAGUCAGUCUACCAGUGUUCCCAAAAGCUCCACAUUUCACAGUCAAGGUAUUUUAGUAAAACAGCCAAGACUGUUUUUAAGUGAUUAAACUGUGUUAUUUAUUUUCA